Long non-coding RNA from Felis catus (domestic cat), 4681 nucleotides. RefSeq lists it as uncharacterized. Lineage: Eukaryota; Metazoa; Chordata; Mammalia; Carnivora; Felidae. The record is from RefSeq and is a predicted model, not a curated record. The transcript is spliced from 3 exons.
CUGAGGAAACUGGAGGACUUCCGAAAGGGGAGGAGCCUCUGGGGAGGGCACCCGGGAGGCGUCCUAAGAGGCAAUAGGCAAACUGCCCUGUGUGGGGCGGGACCAAGGGUGUGAGGGGCGGGGCCCAUGAGAGGCUGGGCGGAGUCCCAAGGUGCCCUCGGAAGUUGGAAACUCCGAGGAACGAGAAGGCGCAGCGCUGGGAGGCCGCUAAGGCCAGAGGAGAACUAACGCCUAGAUGGAAAGGUGGAUCAAAGGCUUCUGGAAGGGCCGGAAGCCACCCUCUGCUCUCCGUGACAAAGAGACUCCGUCGCGGGAACACGAAAUAAUCUCCGUUCGAGUCAACUCAACCCUCAUGAAGCAGAUACUGUGUGCAAGAUACGGAGGGGAAAGUAAGGUGGAGAAAACACAGACCCUGCUUUCAAAGGGUUUAGUCACCAGUGUUGGUAUUGUAAUCCUAGUUUAUCGCUUCUGAUUGCUGCACAGUAUUCCAUAUUGGACAGCAACACAUGUGACUUCCAUUCCCCAAAUGGAUACCAAGGCUACCCCUACCUCUCAGCGAUAAUCAUCCUCGUCCAUGGUCUCUUGUGGACCUAUGUGCAAUUCCUCGGCAACAUAUGCCUAAAAAUGAGAGACUAUAUAUCUGGUAGACAAAAAAGGACAUAAUAUGACAGAGGCAUAAUGCACUAUGGAGGCAAUGGGAGAAGUGGCAGCUGAAGCUGGAGGAUCAGGCUGAACCAAACUGCAAGCCAAGCUAAUGGAAAUGAGAACACAGGGUAGGCAACAGGGCUCAGGCUACUUUGUGUGUUUACAGGAGAUCCAAUCACACUGGGACUAACAGGUGGUGAUACCAUCGUGAUCCAGAGAGACUCCAUAACAUUCCUGAAGGUACAUAACAGAGAAAGACCUAGAGGGCCCUGGCCACCCAUAUCUUGUAUUGGUAUCAGUUAUAGUGCUAUAUGUCUUCCCAUUUCCCAAGAAUCUUCUGAAGGAUUAUUUUACAAGCAGAUGGCCUGCCAAGGUGACAGAAAUUCAAUCCAGAAAACACUUCUUUAAAGCACCUGCUGCAUUGUAAGUACAAGGCUGGCCAGAGGAACCACAGAGCCAACUAAGACAGAGUCACUGCCCUUUGCAUUCACAAUCUGGCUUUGGGGGAAAGAGAGAAAAGACCAUCUACAAGUAAUCCCAACACAAUAUGAUGGCAUAAUUUAGAACAUGCCAUGCCAACAGCGAGCACUAUGGGUGCUGGGUCAGUCUAGACACUGAUACCUGAGAACAUUAUUUAGAAUAUGAGGACAAAAAGACCUUAACAAAGGAAAUCAGGGAACCACAGGAGGUGGAAAGGAACAUGACACGUUCAACUCACAGGAAAGAGAUGCAGGUGACAUCAACUUGGAUGGAUUAAUGGAUGAGAGGAUGGGUGGUUGGACAAAUUAAUGUAUGCUGAUGAAAGAAAGUGCUUCAUUUCCAAUUUUCCAGAUUCCUGAAGACCCUGUUCCCCUUUGUUGUUGUAAUAAAAAGGAACACUAGGUGGCAUCACACUACCAAAAGUUCUCACCUUUUAAAGCCUCCAGGAGACGCUCAUCCACCAAGAUUGGGUCAGCCCCUAAUUUAGACAAGUAAGAGUGCUUCUAUCAAUUUCAUUACUCAUUACAUCCACUUAAUUUAUUUACUGAGCCUCUACUAUGUGCCCAGCCUUGUGCUGCCUACUGUGGAAAAUAUAAAAGGAGUUGAAUCGAGGAUCUCCUCCCAAGGGAGCAUAAGGAGAAGCAAAACACGCAUGGCACCCCCUCCCCCACACAAAAAAAAUUGUAAAACACUCCAAGGCGGGAUGUGGUAAGCACUGAAAUGAGGAUGUCGGAAUAUAAUAUCCAGUGUCAUCUGACCCCUUUGACCUUCUGGUGCCUUCUCCCAUGGCUCACUUCUUGCCCCAAUGGCUUCUUUCAGUUCCCUGUGUAUGUCAUGUUCUUUCCCACCGCUUGGAGUUCACAGAGGUUUAUCUUUCUGUCUGGAAUACUCAACCAUCCCUCUUCACCUGGCUAACUCCCGUCCACCCCUCCUGCAGAUUUCACUUCCUCGGGGAGAGAUUUCCUGACCAUCCCUCAACACCAGAUUACCUUUGCAAGUACCAUGUAUUCGACUUCUUGGACCCUCUCACAAUGGUAGUUAAUCAUGUGUUCAUGGAAAUGGUUGCUUAAGAUCUGUCUUCUCUACAAGCUAUCAAACAAGAAGGCAAGGUACAUGUAUAUCUUGUUCAGCCCUGUCUCCAUUGGUAUUGUAGGCUGAACUGUGUCCCCCUAAAACCCAUAUGUUGAAGCUAUAGCCUCACUACCUCAGAAUGUCACUGUAUCUGGAGAUGAGGGCUUUGUGAGUUAAAAUAAGGCCAUUAGGGUGAGCCUAAUACAGUCUGAAUUGUGUCCUUACAAGAAGAAAUUUGGACACACAAAGAGACACCAGGGACGCAUGUACACAAAGGAAAGACAUAGUGAAAAGAAGGGCAUCUGCAAGCCAAGCAGAGAGGACACAGGAGAAACCAAACCCACUGACACCUUGACCUUGGUCUCCUAGCCUCCAGAACAGUGAGCAAAUAAAUUUCUCUUUAAGCCACCCUAGUCAGUGGUACUUUAUUAUGGCAGACGAAAAAACCAAUAUAAAUGGCCAUCACUCCUCUCAGUUUACAACUAUUAAGUUAAGUGUCUAUUGAAUGAGCUCUAAAAUAAGGAAGAACUGUGAAGGAUAGCAUAUUAGGAAAAGCUACAUGGUAGACAUGGCCCUUGACCUUGACCUUAAAUGAUACAGAUGGCUCAGAGAGUCAUGGAAGAAAAUAGAAGGAAUCCCAAGUAUGGGAAGUAGCAUUGGGCACAUACCAAGGCAAGAAUGUAAAAGUCCUGCUAUAGGGAUGGUGCGGUCCCUCUCAGGGGCCAGUGGACACUAAUGUUGAGAAGAGGGUAGGUGAAUGGUGGAGGUUUGGAAGAAUAACAGAGGCAUGGCUGCAAACUCAAAGACCAGGGACAGCCAAGAACACAUCCAUUCACUCUGCCAGAUAACUUGAAUAUAUGAUCAUGAACUGUAAUACCUCUGCAAAGCUCUUUGUUUAAACCUGGAUAUAAGUGCUUCCUAUGGCACCCUGCUAGGAUUUCUAAGCUGUGUGUUGUGACUCAUAAUAACAGCUUUCUGUACAUAACACUCACUUCUUUAGUAGCACCCAGUGAAGAUACAUCGCAGAACUCCAGAAAAGCAGAAAGAAACAUUGAGAUGUGGCUCUGCAUGGAAAGUCCCAGCCUACGAUGCAAAGCGACUGUGCCCUAAAGGAAACCUGCUCCUGCAAGGGAUCAGAGAGGUCCUGGAGCCAAUUUGGAGGGAGUCCACACAGCCCACAAUUCCUUUCUCGGAGACUAGUAACUCCCCCCAGGAAGUAUGUUCCUUCCUGAUGCCAAAAUGUUAUAGAUGGCCCUAUCUGAUUCCCUGGGGCCAUAGCUGAAGGGUCGGGUAGAGACCUGAUCCACCUGAGGUCAAUCCCAUUAUUUUUCCUGGGGAUUUAUAAAUGGGGUCAAGAGUUGCAAGCCACUCAUUGCUGGGGCCUGGAACUGAGUAUGUGAAUCCCAGGAGAGGCAGAGAAAAGUAGGCUGAACAGAGGGAAGAAUAAAGCAAAUGAACGUAGGGAAGAAUCCACAGGCCCAAGAGAAGGGAGCGUUGGGGGAAGGAGCCUCCCUGGUUGUUGAUGCCUCUUCAGAGCCUGGUAACUCCCUGGGGAGGCCUGGGAAUACCCACACUCUUGAGUCCUGCUAGAUACAACCUCCUAACAAACUGACUUCAUUUGUUUAAACUAGACAGAGUUAGUUUCCAUUGCUUAUACCCCCAAAAACCCAAAAGUCCCGAUCAACACAAAUCCUGUUUAUGCAGGCAUUCUUGCGAUGUCGCUUGAAUUUAGUAUCAAAACUGCAUUUGGGGCCCCAAACAACAUGGCAAAAACUGCCCCUGUCAUCAUAUCUAACAUUUCUCCCCCGGGCUGCUGGGAAGAUUAAAAGCCCACGUGUUACAGAAAAUUGUUGACAUUUAUCAGCCGACCCCCUGCUCACCUUAGAUGACAGAACAGAGUCCCAGCUGGCUGGUGCUCUCCAAGACUGUGCGGGCCAUAUUUUAUUCCUUUAAUCUCCUUUUCCAGCCUGCUGCAGACCAAACUUAACAGAACAUUUGUUGAGCAUUUGACAUCGGUUCCCGAAGGAUCUCCAUACAAACUCCACUCUUGAUACUGGAGGAGGCUACAAAGCUGGGGCACAUUUAUCAGGAAGAUUGAAAGAUUGGCCAUGAAGUGGAAGCAGUGGGCGAUCUGCCAUUGCAGGCGAUGAUUUUUACCAGAAGGGGAUGACAGUGUCACAACCACGCAGUUAUCCAACCUGCCUUGCAUUUCAUUGGCUUAACAGCAACUGCGCUUCUCCCAGUCGGACUACUUUUGGGUAUGACUGGUUCAUUCAGUUGGUGCUCUUGCUGGAGAGGCCAGGCCAAGACUGUAGUUUGGUGUUCUUCCUAGAACCAGGGAGGACUUACACAAAGUCACCAGCUAACCGGAUUAUUCAAAAAGACUGAGUAGCUCCACACAACCUGUUCCCACUACAAAUGAAUAAAUAAAUGAAAUAAAUUAAUGAGUGAAUAAGUAAAUAAAUAAUUCCUUUAAAACAUCAAA